GACGUAGGUGGCAAGCGUUGUCCGGAUUUAUUGGGCGUAAAGAGCGCGUAGGCGGUCCGGUAAGUCCGCUCUGAAAGUCCGGGGCUCAACCCCGGGAGGCGGGCGGAUACUGUCGGGCUAGAGUCCGGAAGAGGCGAGUGGAAUUCCUGGUGUAGCGGUGAAAUGCGCAGAUAUCAGGAGGAACACCAAUGGCGAAGGCAGCUCGCUGGGACGGUACUGACGCUGAGGCGCGAAAGCGUGGGGAGCAAACAGG
RNAcentral lists this ribosomal RNA (253 nucleotides) under uncultured bacterium. Its description in RNAcentral is "partial 16S ribosomal RNA". It matches the Rfam family "Bacterial small subunit ribosomal RNA", at positions 524 to 776 of the family's 1533-position model. The record is from RNAcentral.